CCCUUAGAUGUUCUGGGCCGCACGCGCGCUACACUGACGCAUUCAACGAGUGUACCUUGGCCGAGAGGCCUGGGCAAUCUUUUGAACGUGCAUCGUGAUAGGGAUAGAUUAUUGCAAUUAUUAAUCUUGAACGAGGAAUUCCUAGUAAACGCAGAUCAUCAAUCUGCAUUGAUUACGUCCCUGCCCUUUGUACACACCGCCCGUCGCACCUACCGAUUGGAUGGUCCGGUGAAGCCUCGGGAUUGUGACUGUUGCCUUUAUUGGUGUCGGUUGCGAGAACUUGUCUAAACCUUAUCAUCUAGAGGAAGGUGAAGUCGUAACA
Molecule: ribosomal RNA, 322 nt
Filed under: uncultured eukaryote
Lineage: Eukaryota
Description: partial 18S ribosomal RNA
Rfam family: Eukaryotic small subunit ribosomal RNA
Source: RNAcentral